RNAcentral lists this ribosomal RNA (242 nucleotides) under uncultured bacterium. RNAcentral's name for it is "partial 16S ribosomal RNA". It matches the Rfam family "Bacterial small subunit ribosomal RNA", at positions 335 to 591 of the family's 1533-position model. The record is from RNAcentral.
AGGCCUACGGGGGGCAGCAGUGGGGAAUAUUGGGCAAUGGGCGCAGGCCUGACCCAGCAACGCCGCGUGAAGGAAGAAGGCUUUCGGGUUGUAAACUUCUUUUAUGAGGGACGAAACAAAUGACGGUACCUCAUGAAUAAGCCACGGCUAACUACGUGCCAGCAGCCGCGGUAAUACGUAGGUGGCAAGCGUUAUCCGGAUUUACUGGGUGUAAAGGGCGUGUAGGCGGGACUGCAAGUCAG